RNAcentral lists this transfer RNA (59 nucleotides) under Piprites chloris (white-winged piprites). The record is from Rfam by way of RNAcentral. RNAcentral also lists the same sequence under 3 other names. Lineage: Eukaryota; Metazoa; Chordata; Aves; Passeriformes; Pipridae.
UAGCUCAGUUGGUCAGAGCAUGGUGCUAAUAACACCAAGGCUGUGGGUUUGAUCCCCAU